UACGUAGGGUCCGAGCGUUGUCCGGAAUUAUUGGGCGUAAAGGGCUCGUAGGCGGUUCGUCACGUCGGGAGUGAAAACUCGGAGCUUAACUCCGAGCCUGCUUCCGAUACGGGCAGACUAGAGGUAGGCAGGGGAGAGCGGAACUCCUGGUGUAGGCGGUGGAAUGCGCAGAUAUCAGGAAGAACACCGGUGGCGAAGGCGGCUCUCUGGGCCUACCUGACGCUGAGGAGCGAAAGCGUGGGUAGCGAACAGG
RNAcentral lists this ribosomal RNA (253 nucleotides) under uncultured bacterium. RNAcentral's name for it is "partial 16S ribosomal RNA". It matches the Rfam family "Bacterial small subunit ribosomal RNA", at positions 524 to 776 of the family's 1533-position model. The record is from RNAcentral.